RNA transcript from Capsella rubella, 2235 nucleotides. It is a transcript of the gene named transcription initiation factor TFIID subunit 15b, with no coding region annotated. The record is from RefSeq and is a predicted model, not a curated record. The transcript is spliced from 7 exons. NCBI's taxonomy places the organism in Eukaryota, Viridiplantae, Streptophyta, Magnoliopsida, Brassicales, Brassicaceae.
UAUUUUAAUAACGUCUUAAAAGGCACCCAAGUCUUUAAAGAGUUUUGCUCUGUUGUCUAUCGCAAACCCUAGGUCAUGGCUGGGAUGUACAAUCAAGACGGCGGCGGAGGUGCGCCUAUCCCGUCGUACGGUGGUGAUGGAUACGGCGGAGGUGGAGGUUACGGAGGCGGUGAUUCUGGUUAUGGAGGACGCAGUUCCUCUGGCGGAGGGGGUUACGGCGGACGCGGUGGUUACGGUGGCGGCGGCGGUAGAGGAAAUCGAGGUGGCGGAUAUCAAGGAGGUGAUCGCGGUGGAAGAGGAAGCGGAGGAGGCGGCAGAGGUGGUGGAGGAAGAGAUGGUGGCGGUAAGGAUGGAGAUUGGCGUUGUCCCAACCCUAGCUGUGGGAACGUGAACUUUGCAAGGAGAGUUGAAUGUAACAAGUGUGGUGCACCUGCUCCUUCUGGUGCUGGUGCUGGUGCUGGUGAUCGUGGAGGUGGUGGAUAUAGCCGAGGUGGAGGUGCCAGUGAUCGUGGCGGUGCUCGUGGAGGUAGAAAUGAUAGUGGUAGGAGCUAUGAGAGUAGUAGAUAUGAUGGUGGAAGUAGGGUUGGCGGUAGCUAUGGUACUGGUAGUCAACAGAGGGAUAAUGGUUCGUAUGGUCAGGCUCCUCCUCCUCCUGCAGCUAUUCCUUCCUAUGAUGGUUCCGGAACUUAUCCUCCACCCUCGGGGUAUGGAAUGGAAGCAGUUCCCCCGCCUUCAAGCUAUUCUGGGGGCCCCCCUUCAUAUGGUGGUCCAAGAGGGGGUUAUGGUAGUGAUGCACCAAGCCCUGGUGGUCGCGGUGGUAGGGCUGGUGGCUAUGAUGGUAGUAGUGCUCCUAGGAGACAGGAAUCUAGUUAUGAAGAUGCUGCUGCCGAAAAUCGCACCCAAGUCAAGCAAUGUGAUGCGGAUUGUGAUGAUACUUGUGAUAAUGCUAGAAUAUACAUCUCUAAUUUACCUCCAAAUGUGACUACUGAUGAACUCAAGGAUCUCUUUGGUGGCAUUGGCCAAGUUGGAAGAAUUAAGCAGAAGCGGGGUUAUAAAGAUCAGUGGCCCUAUAAUAUUAAGAUUUACACUGAUGAGAAGGGUAACCAUAAAGGUGACGCCUGUCUGGCUUAUGAAGAUCCUAGUGCUGCACACUCUGCUGGCGGCUUUUUUAACAAUUACGAAAUGAGGGGAAGCAAGAUUAGUGUAACAAUGGCAGAGAAGUCUGCGCCCCGUGCUCCUACCUUUGACCAGAGAGGCGGUGGUAGAGGAGGUGGCGGUGGCUAUGGUGGUGGUGGGGGAGACAGAAGAAGAGAUAACUAUGGUUCAGGGCCAGACAGAAACCACCAUGGGGGAAACCGGUCUCGUCCAUAUUGAGAGAAAGAGGAACCAAUGAAUCAGCUGUUAUGUGUUCUAAGAGUUUUGUGUGUGUUGAGGGGGGAAUUUUAGUAAAAUGUUGCGUUGGUGUUGGGGGGAAAUGUUCUAUGAAUCAUCAUAUUGGAGAUACAAAAAAAAAAAAGGUAGGUUUUUGUUCACUUUGACCUUGAGCAAAAUUACCCCUUUUUUUCUCCCUACUUGUUCUGUUUCUUUGGGGAUCUAUAUUAUUAUCUAUGCAUGUUCGGUUUAUCCUUCUUUAUUUUGUCUUUUCACAAUGUGAAAUUUUUGUUUUUGUUUUAUUGAAGGAAAAGCUGAUAAUUAAGUGCAAAAUGCAUUGCAAAUUGGUGCUAUGAUGAUUUCAGCAACAUUUGUUCCACGAGAAAUGGCAGGAGUGGGGGAUUGCUAGGCACUUUUGUUUGAUAUAAAGUAUGCAGUGACAAUUCAAAAAGAUCAACUUGAUGAUUUUUAGUGCUAACUGACUCCCUGAGACUAUAUUUUACAAAUGAGUGGCCUUGUUUUCGACAAAAAAAGACAAGUUGAUAAAGCUCCAUCAUUCCCUCAAUCUGUAUCCCAAAGACUAAAGAGAAGAGCUCAUUAGAAUCUUGCAGUUGAUGUCUGAAUUGGAAUCUAGUAGACCCGGGGGGGAUAUGACCGUAGUUUAUAUAAGAGUUCUCUUCAAGUGUUUUUGAAGUGUGAUUCUCGUAAGUUUAACUUUGAAUUUGUAACCAUUCACUCGAGAAAGCUUUUUGUUUAUGCUCUUAAUCAUUAUUCGGAUUAAAGAUGUAUCUUCAAUGCUGAUUAGUUGUAGAGGUAUACUAUGGAUUUUUGAGUAGAUGCCGGAUUGGCUAAUCCUUAUUCCUU